CACGUAGGAGGCGAGCGUUGUCCGGAAUCAUUGGGCGUAAAGGGCGCGUAGGCGGCAUGGUAAGUCAAAGGUGAAAUCCCUCGGCUCAACUGAGGAAUAGCCUUUGAAACUGCCAAGCUUGAGGCCGGGAGGGGGUAGCGGAAUUCCCAGUGUAGCGGUGAAAUGCGUAGAUACUGGGAGGAACACCGGUGGCGAAGGCGGCUACCUGGACCGGAUCUGACGCUGAUGCGCGAAAGCGUGGGGAGCAAACAGG
Molecule: ribosomal RNA, 253 nt
Filed under: uncultured bacterium
Lineage: Bacteria
Description: partial 16S ribosomal RNA
Rfam family: Bacterial small subunit ribosomal RNA
Source: RNAcentral